UACGUAGGGGCCUAGCGUUGUCCGGAAUUAUUGGGCGUAAAGAGCUCGUAGGCGGUUCGGCAAGUCGGAUGUGAAAUCUCCACGCUUAACGUGGAGGGGCCAUUCGAAACUGCUGUGACUCGAGUCCGGUAGGGGAGUGUGGAAUUCCCGGUGUAGCGGUGAAAUGCGCAGAUAUCAGGAGGAACACCGGUGGCGAAGGCGGCACUUUGGGCCGGUACUGACGCUGAGGAGCGAAAGCGUGGGGAGCGAACAGG
RNAcentral lists this ribosomal RNA (254 nucleotides) under uncultured bacterium. RNAcentral describes it as "partial 16S ribosomal RNA". It matches the Rfam family "Bacterial small subunit ribosomal RNA", at positions 524 to 776 of the family's 1533-position model. The record is from RNAcentral.